This 298-nucleotide ribosomal RNA is filed under the name uncultured bacterium. RNAcentral describes it as "partial 16S ribosomal RNA". It matches the Rfam family "Bacterial small subunit ribosomal RNA", at positions 334 to 649 of the family's 1533-position model. The record is from RNAcentral.
UUUACCUACGGGGGGCAGCAGUGGGGAAUAUUGCACAAUGGGGGAAACCCUGAUGCAGCGACGCCGCGUGAGUGAGGAAGUAUUUCUGUAUGUAAAGCUCUAUCAGCAGGGAAGAAAAUGACGGUACCUGACUAAGAAGCCCCGGCUAACUACGUGCCAGCAGCCGCGGUAAUACGUAGGGGGCAAGCGUUAUCCGGAUUUACUGGGUGUAAAGGGAGCGUAGACGGUUACGCAAGUCUGGAGUGAAAGGCGGGGGCCCAACCCCCGGACUGCUUUGGAAACUGUAUAACUGGAGUGC